UCAUAAUCUAGAAUCACCUUGUCAAAUUUCUCAUGCCAUUGCUUAGGAGCUUGCUUUAAGCCAUAUAAAGAUUUAACCAACUUGCACACCUUGUGUUCUUGGCCCUUAACUAUGAAUCCUUCGGGUUGCUCCAUAUAGAUCUCUUCAUCUAAGUCUCCAUUUAGAAACGCUGUCUUCACAUCCAUUUGAUGAAUCACUAAAUUAUGCACAGAUGCUAAAGCUAUCAAGGUCCUUAUGGUGGUAAUCCUAGAAACAGAAUGGUGCAUCCACAGACAUAACGGCUUCCUUAUAAGUUGUGGGAUCUCCUUCUACUAGAAAGGAACAUGUCGCACAUCCUUGAGAGUUAGAGUCUUCCCAGAUGUCAUCUUCAAUUCCACUUCUCCUAUUCCACGUACUUGUGCGACGGUGUCAUUUCCUAGGGUUACACUUCCUCCACUUGAGUUCUGGUAAUUUUUGAAAAACCGUUUGUCAAAACACACAUGUACGUUUGCCCCAGAAUCUAACCACCAAUCACUAUUACUUAAAUAUGCGACA
This is a long non-coding RNA of Prunus dulcis (almond), 534 nucleotides long. RefSeq lists it as uncharacterized. The record is from RefSeq and is a predicted model, not a curated record. Lineage: Eukaryota; Viridiplantae; Streptophyta; Magnoliopsida; Rosales; Rosaceae. The transcript is spliced from 3 exons.